Molecule: ribosomal RNA, 311 nt
Filed under: uncultured Anoxybacillus sp.
Lineage: Bacteria; Bacillati; Bacillota; Bacilli; Caryophanales; Anoxybacillaceae
Description: bacterial SSU rRNA
Rfam family: Bacterial small subunit ribosomal RNA
Source: RNAcentral
GUUGGGUUAAGUCCCGCAACGAGCGCAAACCCCUCGACCUUAGUUGCCAGCAUUCAGUUGGGCACUCUAAGGUGACUGCCGGCUAAAAGGUCGGAGGAAGGUGGGGAUGACGUCAAAUCAUCAUGCCCCUUAUGACCUGGGCUACACACGUGCUACAAUGGGCGGUACAAAGGGUCGCGAACCCGCGAGGGGGGAGCCAAUCCCAAAAAGCCGCUCUCAGUUCGGAUUGCAGGCUGCAACUCGCCUGCAUGAAGCCGGAAUCGCUAGUAAUCGCGGAUCAGCAUGCCCGCGGUCGAAUACGUUCCGGCCUU